UCCGGUGGCCAUAGGGGAGGGGAAACACCCGGCUCCAUUCCGAACCCGGAAGUUAAGCCCUCUACCGCCGAUGGUACUGCUCUGGAGACGGAGUGGGAGAGUAGGUCGCCGCCGGGC
Molecule: ribosomal RNA, 117 nt
Filed under: Actinomycetes bacterium
Lineage: Bacteria; Bacillati; Actinomycetota; Actinomycetes
Also listed under: 1 other name
Source: RNAcentral